Molecule: ribosomal RNA, 490 nt
Filed under: uncultured bacterium
Lineage: Bacteria
Description: partial 16S ribosomal RNA
Rfam family: Bacterial small subunit ribosomal RNA
Source: RNAcentral
AUUGAACGCUGGCGGCAUGCCUUACACAUGCAAGUCGAACGGCAGCAUGAUCUAGCUUGCUAGAUUGAUGGCGAGUGGCGAACGGGUGAGUAAUACAUCGGAACGUGCCCUGUAGUGGGGGAUAACUAGUCGAAAGAUUAGCUAAUACCGCAUACGACCUGAGGGUGAAAGUGGGGGACCGCAAGGCCUCAUGCUAUAGGAGCGGCCGAUGUCUGAUUAGCUAGUUGGUGAGGUAAGGGCUCACCAAGGCGACGAUCAGUAGCUGGUCUGAGAGGACGAUCAGCCACACUGGGACUGAGACACGGCCCAGACUCCUACGGGAGGCAGCAGUGGGGAAUUUUGGACAAUGGGCGAAAGCCUGAUCCAGCAAUGCCGCGUGUGUGAAGAAGGCCUUCGGGUUGUAAAGCACUUUUGUCCGGAAAGAAAUGGCUCUGGUUAAUACCUGGGGUCGAUGACGGUACCGGAAGAAUAAGAACCGGCUAACUACGUG